UAGGCGAGGAUAGCUUACUAGUCAGGAUGACAAAUGGACCACUUCAGGAUGAAGUUAGGGACACCUCUAGGAUUGAGGCAUAAAGGAACACUUCAGGACGAAGUAAAGGACACCUCCAGGAAGGAGAAGAGAGUCGAAGCAGGAUGAUUCGACGGGUCAGGGUAAGGCCAAGGACAACUUCAGGAAGAAGAUUUAAGGGAUAGCGCUGAAGGAUUACAGCGAUUCAACGGAAGGAUGCAGGGAGCACCAUAGUAGCCGGAUUGCUGCAAGUAAGACCUAAGGGCGCGACGCAAGUCGCGCCCGCUCUUUUUGGG
RNAcentral lists this non-coding RNA (314 nucleotides) under Photobacterium jeanii. The record is from RNAcentral. Lineage: Bacteria; Pseudomonadati; Pseudomonadota; Gammaproteobacteria; Vibrionales; Vibrionaceae.